UACGUAGGGUGCAAGCGUUGUCCGGAAUUACUGGGCGUAAAGAGCUCGUAGGUGGUUUGUCACGUCGUCUGUGAAAUUCCACAGCUUAACUGUGGGCGUGCAGGCGAUACGGGCUGACUUGAGUACUGUAGGGGUAACUGGAAUUCCUGGUGUAGCGGUGAAAUGCGCAGAUAUCAGGAGGAACACCGAUGGCGAAGGCAGGUUACUGGGCAGUCACUGACGCUGAGGAGCGAAAGCAU
RNAcentral lists this ribosomal RNA (239 nucleotides) under uncultured Actinomycetales bacterium. RNAcentral describes it as "partial 16S ribosomal RNA". It matches the Rfam family "Bacterial small subunit ribosomal RNA", at positions 524 to 762 of the family's 1533-position model. The record is from RNAcentral. Lineage: Bacteria; Bacillati; Actinomycetota; Actinomycetes; Actinomycetales.